GAAUUCUGGUUUCUCUUCAGAUUGCAUAAAUCUUUCGCCUUUUACUAAAGAUUUCCGUGGAGAGGAAAAAUGUGAGUGGUAACUUAUUUUUUGAUGCUCUGCCGAAAGGUGGGGCU
RNAcentral lists this small nuclear RNA (116 nucleotides) under Gadus morhua (Atlantic cod). Its description in RNAcentral is "U5 spliceosomal RNA". It matches the Rfam family "U5 spliceosomal RNA". Rfam says of the family: U5 RNA is a component of both types of known spliceosome. The precise function of this molecule is unknown, though it is known that the 5' loop is required for splice site selection and p220 binding, and that both the 3' stem-loop and the Sm site are important for Sm protein binding and cap methylation. The record is from Rfam by way of RNAcentral. Lineage: Eukaryota; Metazoa; Chordata; Actinopteri; Gadiformes; Gadidae.